RNAcentral lists this ribosomal RNA (285 nucleotides) under uncultured bacterium. Its description in RNAcentral is "partial 16S ribosomal RNA". It matches the Rfam family "Bacterial small subunit ribosomal RNA", at positions 1207 to 1500 of the family's 1533-position model. The record is from RNAcentral.
UCCGGGGCGACACACGUGUUACAAUGGGGGGUACAGCGGGAAGCCAGGCGGCGACGCCGAGCGGAACCCGAAAGCCCCUCCCAGUUCGGACUGGAGUCUGCAACCCGACUCCACGAAGUUGGAUUUGCUAGUAAUCGCGCAUCAGCCAUGGCGUGGUGAAUACGUUCCCGGGCCUUGUACACACCGCCCGUCAAGCCAUGGGAGCCGGGGGCGCCUGAAGUCCGGGACCGCGAGGACCGGCCUAGGGCGAAACUGGUGACUGGGGCUAAGUCGUAACAAGGUAGC